UCUGGUUGAUCCUGCCAGUAGUCAUAUGCUUGUCUCAAAGAUUAAGCCAUGCAUGUCUAAGUACAAACCUUAAUACGGUGAAACCGCGAAUGGCUCAUUAAAUCAGCUAUGGUUCCUUAGAUCGUCUCAUCCUACUCGGAUAACUGUGGAAAAUCUAGAGCUAAUACGUGCUUACAAGCCCUGACCUCACGGGAGGGGCGCAUUUAUUAGAUCAAAAACCAAUCGGGCUUGCCCCGUCUGCUUGGUGACUCUGGAUAACUUUUGUGCUGAUCGCAUGGCCUCUGCGCUGGCGACGUAUCUUUCAAGUGUCUGCCCUAUCAACUUACGAUGGUAGGUGAUAUGCCUACCAUGGUUAUAACGGGUAACGGGGAAUCAGGGUUCGAUUCCGGAGAGGGAGCCUGAGAAACGCUACCACAUCUAAGGAAGGCCAGCAGGCGCGCAAAAUUACCCACUCCCGCACGGGAGGUAGUGACGAAAAAUAACGAUACGGGACUCUUUUGAGGCCCCGUAAUUGGAAUGAAGUACACUUUAAUCCGUUAACAAGUAUCUAUUGGAGGGCAAGUCUGGUGCCAGCAGCCGCGUAAUUCCAGCUCAAUAGCGUAUAUUAAUGUUGCUGCAGUUAAAAAGCUCGUAGUUGGAUCUGAGGACUCGAAUUGGUGUGCACCAUACGGUGUUACUGCCGAUUCGGCCUACCUAGUCGGUGCUCGCUCUUGGUGUUCUAAUUGAAUGCCCCUGAGUGCCCGGCAAGUUUUACUUUGAAAAAAUUAGAGUGCUCAAAGCAGGCCAUUAGCCGGAAUACUUCAGCAUGGAAUAAUGGAAUAGGACUUCGGUUCUAUUUUGUUGGUUUUCGAACCCGAGGUAAUGAUUAAGAGAGACAGACGGGGGCAUUCGUACUGCGGUUUAGAGGUGAAAUUCUUGGAUCGCCGCAAGACGAACAAACUGCGAAAGCAUUUGCCAAGAUGUUUUCAUUAAUCAAGAACGAAAGUCAGAGGUUCGAAGACGAUCAGAUACCGUCCUAGUUCUGACCAUAAACGAUGCCAACUGGCGAUCCGAGAUCGUUUGCUUAUUGACCUCUCGGCAGCCUCCGGAAACCAAAGUUUUUUAGGUUCCGGGGAAGUAUGGUUGCAAAGCUGGAAACUGUUCAAUUGCAACUCUGCCUGUGACACCAAGUGGUCGGUUACUUGGUCUGUUCUGGCCCGGAGUCGGUAGGGUUUCCGGCCUGUGCUCUUUCCUUACUGUUCUCUGCUAACGCCGAAGGCGGGGCUUCCACGGUGGGGAAGCGGUUGUACAAAUCCGGCAAAUCCAGCCAAAUGGGUUCCGGACUCUGUCCAACCUGCAACUGGUAACAGCCUCGCUGGCUAACAUUUGAGCUGGGACUCGCUUGGGAGGAGCGAGGAUAAUAUAAACCUCUAUGUGACUGAGGUGAGGAAUCUGGUUCUCGUAAAAUGGCUGGAGAUCCCGAGCCUGUAAGUCAUAAAAUUAGUUCCCCCACGAGGGAGGUGUCGAAUUGAAGCCAGUGCGUGCCCUUACUAGUUUUAAGGGAUUGUAUACUUCCUUUGGUGUACCCACCUGGAAGUGCCCAAGGGGUCCUAUCCCUGCACUCCAUCCCCGAUUGGAGUCAGGUGACGGCUCCUUACCUCACCAGACGCCGCGGACCCCGGAAGGGUCUGGGCCCCGAAGCCUGACGGCGUCGGGGUGCAGGAAGCCUC
Molecule: ribosomal RNA, 1709 nt
Filed under: Macrostomum lignano
Lineage: Eukaryota; Metazoa; Platyhelminthes; Macrostomidae
Description: SSU rRNA
Rfam family: Eukaryotic small subunit ribosomal RNA (bases 1-1183)
Source: RNAcentral